AUACGUAGGUGACAAGCGUUAUCCGGAUUUACUGGGCGUAAAGGGCGUGUAGGCGGUCUUGCAAGUCAGAAGUGAAAUUCCUGAGCUCAACUCGGGCGCUGCUUCUGAAACUGCAGGACUUGAGUGCUGGAGGGGAUAGCGGAAUUCCUAGUGGAGCGGUAAAAUGCGCAGAUAUUAGGAAGAACACCGGUGGCGAAGGCGGCUACCUGGACAGUAACUGACGCUGAGGCGCGAAAGCGUGGGGAGCAAACAGGAUUAUAUACCCGGGUGGUCCACGCUGUAAACGAUGAAUACUAGGUGUAGGGGGUAUCGACUCCCUCUGUGCCGCAGUUAACACAAUAAGUAUUCCGCCUGGGGAGUACGGCCGCAAGGUUGAAACUCAAAGGAAUUGGCGGGG
RNAcentral lists this ribosomal RNA (397 nucleotides) under uncultured bacterium. Its description in RNAcentral is "partial 16S ribosomal RNA". It matches the Rfam family "Bacterial small subunit ribosomal RNA", at positions 523 to 918 of the family's 1533-position model. The record is from RNAcentral.